UUAGCUAGUUGGUGAGGUAAUGGCUCACCAAGGCCACGAUCAGUAGCUGGUUUGAGAGAACGAUCAGCCACACUGGGACUGAGACACGGCCCAGACUCCUCCGGGAGGCAGCAGUGAGGAAUUUUCCGCAAUGGGCGAAAGCCUGACGGAGCAAUACCGCGUGAGGGAUGAAGGAUUUUGGUCUGUAAACCUCUUUUCUCAAGAAAGAAGUUCUGACGGUACUUGAGGAAUAAGCAUCGGCUAACUCCGUGCCAGCAGCCGCGGUAAUACGGGGGAUGCAAGCGUUAUCCGGAAUCAUUGGGCGUAAAGCGCCUGUAGGUUGUUUAAUAAGUCUGUUGUUAAAGCCUAGGGCUUAACCCUAGAAAAGCAAUGGAAACUAUUAGACUAGAGUAUGGUAGGGGUAGGAGGGAAUUUCUAGUGUAGCGGUGAAAUGCGUAGAUAUUAGAAAGAACACCGGUGGCGAAAGCGCUCUACUGGACCAUUACUGACACUCAGAGGCGAAAGCUAGGGUAGCAAAAGGGAUUAGAUACCCCUGUAGUCCUAGCCGUAAACGAUGGAUACUAGAUGUUGUGCAUUAAGGACAGUAUCGUAGCUAACGCGUUAAGUAUCCCGCCUGGGGAGUACGCUCGCAAGGGUGAAACUCAAAGGAAUUGACAGGGGCCCGCACAAGCGGUGGAGCAUGUGGUUUAAUUCGAUGCACGCGAGAGAACCUUACCAGGGCUUGACAUACUACGAAUCUUUUUGAGAAAAAAGAGUGCCUUCGGGAAUGUAGAUACAGGUGGUGCAUGGCUGUCGUCAGCUCGUGUCGUGAGAUGUUGGGUUAAGUCCCGCAACGAGCGCAACCCUUGUUUUUAGUUACCAACUUGUUGGGUUUUCUAGAAAGACUGCCGGUGACAAAUCGGAGGAAGGUGAGGAUGACGUCAAGUCAGCAUGCCCCUUAUGUCCUGGGCUACACACGUGCUACAAUGGCAGAGACAAAGCGUCGCUAGCUCGCGAGAGUAAGCUAAUCGCAUAAACUCUGCCUAAGUUCAGAUUGUAGGCUGCAACUCGCCUACAUGAAGUUGGAAUCGCUAGUAAUCGCUGGUCAGCCAUACAGCGGUGAAUCCGUUCCCGGGCCUUGUACACACCGCCCGUCACACCAUGGGAGUUGGCUUUACCCGAAGGCGGUGCGCCAACCUGUUUACAGGAGGCAGCCGACCACGGUAAGGUCAGCGACUGGGGUGAAGUC
This 1228-nucleotide ribosomal RNA is filed under the name uncultured bacterium. RNAcentral describes it as "bacterial SSU rRNA". It matches the Rfam family "Bacterial small subunit ribosomal RNA", at positions 241 to 1487 of the family's 1533-position model. The record is from RNAcentral.